CAGACUCUGGCCCGCACCCAGGGUGGCUUCACCGAGAGACUGGAGGGAAGGUUUCUCAACAGCGAGCUGGGGCCCGGCACCAAGGGCCGAGCGCUGGAGGGAGGUGCUCGGAGACAUCGAGUUCUCCAUAGAGCAGCUGAAGCUCACCUCGAGAUAUGAGCUGUGUAUAACUCGAGUUAGCUAAUGCAUCCUCCAAGGAAGAAGAUAUGAAAAGACCCAGAAUGGAAAGGGUGAAUGCUUUUUAUUGUAAUGACAUUGGUCAAGCAACAGUUGUUGGAAAUACCAAGCCAGCUGUGGGGAUGUCAGCUAUUUCACGCUUAGCCCAUAUAUAAAACAAUAUUUUACAUGACUCAAUGUUUGCUGCAAACAUUGGUGCUAAACACUCUCA
This is a long non-coding RNA of Ornithorhynchus anatinus (platypus), 388 nucleotides long. RefSeq lists it as uncharacterized. NCBI's taxonomy places the organism in Eukaryota, Metazoa, Chordata, Mammalia, Monotremata, Ornithorhynchidae. The transcript is spliced from 2 exons. The record is from RefSeq and is a predicted model, not a curated record.